UACAGAGGGUGCUAGCGUUGUUCGGAAUCAUUGGGCGUAAAGGGCGUGUAGGCGGUUUGUUAAGUCAUGUGUGAAAUCCCUCGGCUCAACCGGGGAACGACGCAUGAAACUGGCAAGCUAGAGUACCAAAGAGGGGGGUGGAAUUCCCGGUGUAGCGGUGAAAUGCGUAGAUAUCAGGAGGAACACCGGUGGCGAAGGCGGUUCUCUGGGCAUGUCCUGACGCUGAGGAGCGAAAGUGUGGGGAGCGAACAGG
This 253-nucleotide ribosomal RNA is filed under the name uncultured bacterium. Its description in RNAcentral is "partial 16S ribosomal RNA". It matches the Rfam family "Bacterial small subunit ribosomal RNA", at positions 524 to 776 of the family's 1533-position model. The record is from RNAcentral.